AUGCACACUCCGCGGCUCGGCUUCCGCGGGCUGCAGCCUGCAGCCAUGGACGCCCCCGCCGCGCCUCCAAGAAAGCUCUCGCCGCCCGCCGCGCCGCGAAGAAGGCUAUCGCCGCCCGCCGCGCCACCAAGAAGGCUGUCGCCGCCAGCCGCACGGGCGCGGCCCGUGAACAAGAGCCCCCCGCAUCCCCAUCCCCCACCUCACCGUCGGCCGCCGACGCCGACGCCGCAGCGCAGCCACCUCCACGGGCAGCAGCAGCAGCACAAGCAGCAGACGUCCGCGUGGAGCGUCGGCUUCCUGAGCGCCUGGCUCUCGCAGCGCACCCCCGUGCUCGGCCUCCGCGCCUGGGUCCUCGUCGCCGCGGCCGCGGCCGCGGUCGUCCUCGCCGUCCUCGUGCUCACCGUCUGCCUCUGCCGCUGCCGGCGCCGGCGCCGGCGAUGCCCUCGCGUCGCCCCGAGCCUGCACCACGGGGGCGCGUCCAGGUCCAUGAAGCACCACCUGCAUCAGGCGAUGGCGGACAAGGACAUCGUCGAGGAGUCCGUCCGCUGGCACCCGCCGCCUCCGUGCGAGCCGCCGUUCCAGCCGCCGAUCGAGGUCAUCAAGGCGGAGCAGAAGGCCCCGCUGAUCAGGGUCGAGUCCGCGCGGACUAGCGGCGAGACGGCGACGAGCAUCGCCGGGAGCGCGCGCGGUUGGAGCAGCGAGAGCGGCGGCGGCAGCGACGCGGAGGCCGACGCGUCGCAGCGCGGCUGGGGCCGCCGGUACACGCGCCGGGAGCUGGAGGAGGCCACCGACGGGUUCGCCGCCCAGAACGUGCUCGGGGAGGGCGGCUACGGGGUGGUCUACAAGGGUGUGCUACGGGACUCCACCCUCGUCGCCAUCAAGAAUCUGCACAACAACAGGGGCCAGGCCGAGAAAGAUUUCAAGGUGGAGGUGGCGACGAUCGGCCGGGUUCGGCACAAGAACUUGGUCAGUCUGCUCGGCUACUGCAGCGAGGGCGCCUGCAGGAUGCUGGUCUACGAGUACAUGGAGAACAGUAACCUGGACAAGUGGCUGCACCAUGAGGAGGGUGAGAUUAGUCAGCUCAACUGGGACACAAGGAUGCACAUACUUCUCGGAACCGCUAAAGGGCUGGCGUACCUUCACGAAGGGCUGGAGCCCAAGAUCGUCCACCGAGACGUCAAAUCCAGCAACAUCCUCCUGGACGGGCAGUGGAACGCCAGGGUGUCGGACUUCGGGCUCGCCAAGCUCCUCUGCUCCGAGGCGUCCUACGUCACCACCCGCGUCAUGGGCACCUUCGGGUACGUGGCGCCGGAGUACGCGCGGACCGGGAUGCUGAACGAGAGGAGCGACGUGUACAGCUUCGGGGUGCUCGUCAUGGAGAUGAUAACCGGCAGAACUCCGGUGGACUACACCAGGCCCACCGCGGAGGUGAACUUGGUGGAGUGGCUGAAGCGCAUGGUGGCGGAGAGGAGGGUGGAGGAGGUGCUGGACCCGACGCUGCCCGAGGCGCCGCCGUCCAAGGUGCUGAAGCGCGCCGUCCUCGCCGCGCUCCGGUGCGUCGACCCCGACAGCGGCCAGCGGCCCACCAUGGGGCACGUGGUGCACAUGCUCGAGGACGACCUCAGGUUCAGAGACGAACUCCAACUUGCGCGGGGUCUGUCGGCCCACGCGUCGGCGUCGGCGUCGUCGGGGAGCUACGAGCGCGAGGAGUGA
RNAcentral lists this ribosomal RNA (1713 nucleotides) under Triticum aestivum (bread wheat). RNAcentral's name for it is "partial small subunit ribosomal RNA". Lineage: Eukaryota; Viridiplantae; Streptophyta; Magnoliopsida; Poales; Poaceae. The record is from RNAcentral.